Molecule: ribosomal RNA, 346 nt
Filed under: uncultured bacterium
Lineage: Bacteria
Description: bacterial SSU rRNA
Rfam family: Bacterial small subunit ribosomal RNA
Source: RNAcentral
GAUGAACGCUGGCGGCGUGCCUAAUACAUGCAAGUCGAGCGAACCACUUCGGUGGUGAGCGGCGAACGGGUGAGUAACACGUAGGUGAUCUGCCCAUCAGACGGGGACAACGAUUGGAAACGAUCGCUAAUACCGGAUAGGACGAAAGUUUAAAGGUGCUUCUGGCACCGCCGAUGGAUGAGCCUGCGGCGCAUUAGCUAGUUGGUAGGGUAAAGGCCUACCAAGGCGACGAUGCGUAGCCGACCUGAGAGGGUGAACGGCCACACUGGGACUGAGACACGGCCCAGACUCCUACGGGAGGCAGCAGUAGGGAAUAUUGCACAAUGGGGGAAACCCUGAUGCAGCG